This 203-nucleotide long non-coding RNA is filed under the name Lathyrus oleraceus (garden pea). RNAcentral's name for it is "Pisum sativum (pea) long non-coding RNA (PSAT_LNC002155)". The record is from RNAcentral. Lineage: Eukaryota; Viridiplantae; Streptophyta; Magnoliopsida; Fabales; Fabaceae.
GUCAUCCUUAUUUUCUUUUUCCAAUUUUUUCUUCUUUUUCUACUUUUUUUCUUUUUCUAUUUUCUGUCAAAUUUUGAAUGAAAUAUCACAACUAUAAUUAUUCAACCCCACACAACUCCAAACAAGAUUUUUUCAAUCCUUUGAAUAGGAUGACAACAUUGUUUUUCACUUUUAGGCUUGUAAUGAGUUAUAAAUAAUAAAUG